CCUACGGGUGGCAGCAGUGAGGAAUAUUGGUCAAUGGGCGCGAGCCUGAACCAGCCAAGUCGCGUGAGGGAGUACUGCCCUAUGGGUUGUAAACCUCUUUUGUCGGGGAGCAAAAGCCGGACGUGUCCGGCUGUGAGAGUACCCGAAGAAAAAGCAUCGGCUAACUCCGUGCCAGCAGCCGCGGUAAUACGGAGGAUGCGAGCGUUAUCCGGAUUUAUUGGGUUUAAAGGGUGCGCAGGCGGAUUUUUAAGUCAGCGGUAAAAUCGUGGGGCUCAACCCCAUCCAGCCGUUGAAACUGGGGAUCUAGAGUGUGCGAGAGGUAUGCGGAAUGCGUGGUGUAGCGGUGAAAUGCAUAGAUAUCACGCAGAACCCCGAUUGCGAAGGCAGCAUACCGGUGCACAACUGACGCUCAGGCACGAAAGCGUGGGUAUCGAACAGGAUUAGAUACCCUUGUAGUC
RNAcentral lists this ribosomal RNA (458 nucleotides) under uncultured bacterium. RNAcentral describes it as "partial 16S ribosomal RNA". It matches the Rfam family "Bacterial small subunit ribosomal RNA", at positions 338 to 795 of the family's 1533-position model. The record is from RNAcentral.